Molecule: ribosomal RNA, 1844 nt
Filed under: Escherichia coli
Lineage: Bacteria; Pseudomonadati; Pseudomonadota; Gammaproteobacteria; Enterobacterales; Enterobacteriaceae
Description: partial 23S ribosomal RNA
Rfam family: Bacterial large subunit ribosomal RNA
Source: RNAcentral
UACCCCGAGGAAAAGAAAUCAACCGAGAUUCCCCCAGUAGCGGCGAGCGAACGGGGAGGAGCCCAGAGCCUGAAUCAGUGUGUGUGUUAGUGGAAGCGUCUGGAAAGGCGCGCGAUACAGGGUGACAGCCCCGUACACAAAAAUGCACAUGCUGUGAGCUCGAUGAGUAGGGCGGGACACGUGGUAUCCUGUCUGAAUAUGGGGGGACCAUCCUCCAAGGCUAAAUACUCCUGACUGACCGAUAGUGAACCAGUACCGUGAGGGAAAGGCGAAAAGAACCCCGGCGAGGGGAGUGAAAAAGAACCUGAAACCGUGUACGUACAAGCAGUGGGAGCCUCUUUAUGGGGUGACUGCGUACCUUUUGUAUAAUGGGUCAGCGACUUAUAUUCUGUAGCAAGGUUAACCGAAUAGGGGAGCCGAAGGGAAACCGAGUCUUAACUGGGCGUUAAGUUGCAGGGUAUAGACCCGAAACCCGGUGAUCUAGCCAUGGGCAGGUUGAAGGUUGGGUAACACUAACUGGAGGACCGAACCGACUAAUGUUGAAAAAUUAGCGGAUGACUUGUGGCUGGGGGUGAAAGGCCAAUCAAACCGGGAGAUAGCUGGUUCUCCCCGAAAGCUAUUUAGGUAGCGCCUCGUGAAUUCAUCUCCGGGGGUAGAGCACUGUUUCGGCAAGGGGGUCAUCCCGACUUACCAACCCGAUGCAAACUGCGAAUACCGGAGAAUGUUAUCACGGGAGACACACGGCGGGUGCUAACGUCCGUCGUGAAGAGGGAAACAACCCAGACCGCCAGCUAAGGUCCCAAAGUCAUGGUUAAGUGGGAAACGAUGUGGGAAGGCCCAGACAGCCAGGAUGUUGGCUUAGAAGCAGCCAUCAUUUAAAGAAAGCGUAAUAGCUCACUGGUCGAGUCGGCCUGCGCGGAAGAUGUAACGGGGCUAAACCAUGCACCGAAGCUGCGGCAGCGACACUAUGUGUUGUUGGGUAGGGGAGCGUUCUGUAAGCCUGUGAAGGUGUGCUGUGAGGCAUGCUGGAGGUAUCAGAAGUGCGAAUGCUGACAUAAGUAACGAUAAAGCGGGUGAAAAGCCCGCUCGCCGGAAGACCAAGGGUUCCUGUCCAACGUUAAUCGGGGCAGGGUGAGUCGACCCCUAAGGCGAGGCCGAAAGGCGUAGUCGAUGGGAAACAGGUUAAUAUUCCUGUACUUGGUGUUACUGCGAAGGGGGGACGGAGAAGGCUAUGUUGGCCGGGCGACGGUUGUCCCGGUUUAAGCGUGUAGGCUGGUUUUCCAGGCAAAUCCGGAAAAUCAAGGCUGAGGCGUGAUGACGAGGCACUACGGUGCUGAAGCAACAAAUGCCCUGCUUCCAGGAAAAGCCUCUAAGCAUCAGGUAACAUCAAAUCGUACCCCAAACCGACACAGGUGGUCAGGUAGAGAAUACCAAGGCGCUUGAGAGAACUCGGGUGAAGGAACUAGGCAAAAUGGUGCCGUAACUUCGGGAGAAGGCACGCUGAUAUGUAGGUGAAGUCCCUCGCGGAUGGAGCUGAAAUCAGUCGAAGAUACCAGCUGGCUGCAACUGUUUAUUAAAAACACAGCACUGUGCAAACACGAAAGUGGACGUAUACGGUGUGACGCCUGCCCGGUGCCGGAAGGUUAAUUGAUGGGGUCAGCGCAAGCGAAGCUCUUGAUCGAAGCCCCGGUAAACGGCGGCCGUAACUAUAACGGUCCUAAGGUAGCGAAAUUCCUUGUCGGGUAAGUUCCGACCUGCACGAAUGGCGUAAUGAUGGCCAGGCUGUCUCCACCCGAGACUCAGUGAAAUUGAACUCGCUGUGAAGAUGCAGUGUACCCGCGGCA